This 187-nucleotide ribosomal RNA is filed under the name Oncorhynchus mykiss (rainbow trout). Its description in RNAcentral is "partial ribosomal RNA". It matches the Rfam family "Eukaryotic large subunit ribosomal RNA", at positions 661 to 814 of the family's 3401-position model. Lineage: Eukaryota; Metazoa; Chordata; Actinopteri; Salmoniformes; Salmonidae. The record is from RNAcentral.
ACGGACCAAGGAGUCUAACGCAUGCGCAAGUCAGAGGGUUUUCUCCGAACACACCCCGUGGCGCAAUGAAAGUGAGGGCCGGCGCGUGUCGGCUGAGGUGGGAUCCCGACCCUACGGGGUCGGGCGCACCACCGGCCCGUCUCGCCCGCUUUGUCGGGGAGGUGGAGCGUGAGCGCAUGCGAUAGGA